Molecule: ribosomal RNA, 468 nt
Filed under: uncultured bacterium
Lineage: Bacteria
Description: partial 16S ribosomal RNA
Rfam family: Bacterial small subunit ribosomal RNA
Source: RNAcentral
GACGAACGCUGGCGGCGUGCUUAACACAUGCAAGUCGAACGGAAAGGCCCUGCUUUUGUGGGGUGCUCGAGUGGCGAACGGGUGAGUAACACGUGAGUAACCUGCCCUUGACUUUGGGAUAACUUCAGGAAACUGGGGCUAAUACCGGAUAGGAGCUCCUGCUGCAUGGUGGGGGCUGGAAAGUUUCGGCGGUUGGGGAUGGACUCGCGGCUUAUCAGCUUGUUGGUGGGGUAGUGGCUUACCAAGGCUUUGGCGGGUAGCCGGCCUGAGAGGGUGACCGGCCACAUUGGGACUGAGAUACGGCCCAGACUCCUACGGGAGGCAGCAGUGGGGAAUAUUGCACAAUGGGCGGAAGCCUGAUGCAGCAACGCCGCGUGCGGGAUGACGGCCUUCGGGUUGUAAACCGCUUUCGCCUGUGACGAAGCGUGAGUGACGGUAAUGGGUAAAGAAGCACCGGCUAACUACGUG